RNAcentral lists this small RNA (350 nucleotides) under Histoplasma ohiense. RNAcentral describes it as "hypothetical lncRNA". Lineage: Eukaryota; Fungi; Ascomycota; Eurotiomycetes; Onygenales; Ajellomycetaceae. The record is from RNAcentral.
CGGUCCAGAGGGGGAUGUCGCUAUUCAACCUUACGUGCGGUACGUCCGGCUCCAUACGCAUUGUUAUUAUUGUAAAAUUAUAUAUAAGGCGAUCCUUGGGUGUUCCUCGCUUCACAAUAAGAUUGCCCAACUGCAUGGCUUUCAGGAAGUAGAAGCCGUAGGAACCAAGGCCAUGUUACUCCGUAUAUUGGUGGGACUUUCAUUGAAAAAUAAUAUUAACUAGUAUCCUCGAGCUACUACUUCUUCAAUGCUUAAAUCUUUUAUUAUUAUUUUUUUUUUCUUCGCAAACCGUACGUGCUCGAUCCAGGAUCCGUGCUUGAUUCAAGAGUCUUUGCUUGCUUUCAUCAUGG